This 226-nucleotide long non-coding RNA is filed under the name Mytilus galloprovincialis (Mediterranean mussel). The record is from RNAcentral. Lineage: Eukaryota; Metazoa; Mollusca; Bivalvia; Mytilida; Mytilidae.
UUUGUUCUAACACAAAGUAUUUUUCUGUCUUUUUCCUAUAUUGCCAUUGUUAAAGCUUGUGAUAAGUAAUAAAAAAAGGGGAAUAAUCCAUUACAGUAAAAAAAUAGUAUUCAUUGGCAGAUCCAGGGGGGUCCCCCUUUUUAUUGGCCAACAUAUAGUUGAAACAACCCCCCCCCCUUUGUCCUGGGUUGGGAACCCCUCCUUUUUAAAAUUGCUGGAUCCGCCC